AUUUUCUAGCAUUUCUACUCAUUGGUCUGUGGACACUGUUUCUACAGCUCUUAAAGCAAUGACUUCUGAACUUGAAUGACCAGUAGAACUGGGUGGAUGACUUUAUAAAAACACAGAUUUGCAAGCCCAGUCCAGGUCUAUCAAGUAAGGAUCUUUCUAAGGAGUUAAGCUCAGGCCUGCGACGGUGGAUUAUCCAGCAGGGGCUUUGCCGUGUAAACUCUCUAGAAAGUUGUCAACAGCCUGUUCUUCUUCAGUGGUGAGACUUGGAUGAAUUCAGAUUUUGAGUCUUUGAAUCUUAGCUCCCUGACCAGGGAUCGAACCAGCAUCUCCUGCAUUAGAAGGCGAAGUUUUAACCUGUGGACCUCCAGGGAAAUCACCAAAGGUCUUUUUCCUUUUCACUGA
This 402-nucleotide long non-coding RNA is filed under the name Capra hircus (goat). Its description in RNAcentral is "lncRNA (ENSCHIG00000006119.1)". The record is from RNAcentral. Lineage: Eukaryota; Metazoa; Chordata; Mammalia; Artiodactyla; Bovidae.